AUUGAACGCUGGCGGCAUGCCUUACGCAUGCGAGUCGAACGGCAGCACGGGUGCUUGCACCUGGUGGCGAGUGGCGAACGGGUGAGUAAUACAUCGGAACGUACCUUAUCGUGGGGGAUAACGCAGCGAAAGUUGCGCUAAUACCGCAUACGCCCUGAGGGGGAAAGCGGGGGACCGUAAGGCCUCGCGCGAUUAGAGCGGCCGAUGUCUGAUUAGCUUGUUGGUGAGGUAAAAGCUCACCAAGGCGAUGAUCAGUAGCUGGUCUGAGAGGACGAUCAGCCACACUGGGACUGAGACACGGCCCAGACUCCUACGGGAGGCAGCAGUGGGGAAUUUUGGACAAUGGGGGCAACCCUGAUCCAGCAAUGCCGCGUGAGUGAAGAAGGCCUUCGGGUUGUAAAGCUCUUUUGUCAGGAAGAAACAGCAGCUCUAACACAGUCUGCGAAUGACGGUACCUGAAGAAUAAGCACCGGCUAACUACGUGCCAGCAGCCGCAGUAA
Molecule: ribosomal RNA, 500 nt
Filed under: uncultured bacterium
Lineage: Bacteria
Description: partial 16S ribosomal RNA
Rfam family: Bacterial small subunit ribosomal RNA
Source: RNAcentral